GGGCGUGACAAAAGAUGUAUAAAGAUUUGAAGUUAUUGUAUUGGUGACCUGGGAUGAAAAAUGAUGUUGGAGAAUUUGUAGCUCGAUGUUUAACUUGUUAACAGGUAAAAGCUGAACAUCGACUACCCGCGGGAAAGCUUCCGAGUUUAUCUAUACCCGUGUGGAAAUGAGAAAAUAUUUCUACGGAUUUUAUUAUAGGCUUGCCUCGUUCAUAAGCCGGUUGUAAUGUUAUUUGGGUGAUCGUAUAGGUUGACGAAAUCUGCUUAUUUCAUUCCUAUUCACACUAUUUGGACGGGAGAGAGACUCGCACAAGUGUACCGUGACGAAAUUGUGCGAUUAUAUGAAGUGCCUACAUCUAUAGUAUCGGAUCGAGAUUCCCGAUUUGUAUCACAUUUUUGGAAGAGUUUGCAUGAUGCAUUAGGCAUUCAACUAGAUUUCAGCACUGCUUUCUACCCUCAGAGUGAUGGGCAAGCUGAGCGUACUAUCUAGAUUCUUGAAGAUAUGUUUUGGGCUUGUGUGAUGGGCUUCCAAGGUGGAUGGCCUCAAUAUCUACCUAUGGCAGAGUUUGCUUAUAAUAACAGUUAUUAAGUAAGCAUUAAGAUGACACUAUUUGAAACCCUUUAUGGAAGGAAGUAUACAUCAUCUCUUCAUUGGAGUGAAGUAGGUGAAAAGCUGAUUUUGGGUCCAUAUGUGCUCCAGGAAGCUAAAAGUAAGGUUCGCCUUGCAUGAGAGCGAAUAAUUGCAGCUCAAAGUAGAUAGAAGAGUUAUGCGGAUAAGCGUCGACGAGAAUUGGAAUUCCAAGUUGGAGAUUAUGUUUUUUUGAAAGUCUUGCUGACGAAAGGAAUUAAGAGGUUUGCCAUUCGAGGAAAGUUGAGUCUUCAAUUUAUUGGACCCUACGAGAUUAUGGAGCGUGUAGGCCUGGUAGCUUAUCGGCUUGCUUUACCGCCGAACCUAUUAGGAGUACAUAAUGUAUUUCAUAUUUCUGCACUACGGAAGUAUGUAUUCAAUCCAGCUCAUAUUUUGGAUUCUACACCAUUGGAGCUAUGAGAGGACUUAAGCUUCGAGGUGCAAUUUGUGAGAAUUUUCGCUCGCGAGGUGAAGAAGUUUCGGAAUCGAAGCCACUUGGGAGCUGGAAAGUGCACUCCAGAAGUGUUAUCCCCAUAUUUUUCAGAUGGAAUCUUGAGGUACUUGAUUUUUAGUUUCGCGGACGAAACUCCUUUUCAGAAGGGGAUAAUGUAGUACACUGAACUUUAGCAAAUUAAAAGGUUAUAGUGUAAUAAUAGUAUUAUGAACUAUUCUGGACAUUUUGGGGAUCAAUGAUGGUGUAUCGAUCCUUUACUUAAGCUCCCGAGUGCGAGAAUGGAUUUUUAACAUUAAAAUCUGUAAAUUGCAAGUUUUGAGUGUCGAGUACCGGUACCUGAGUGCGGUACGGGAACCCUGUAGGGUGCCAGAAUGUGUUGCUCUCGGGUUUGAGAAGCUGCGCAUUGAGUACCAGUACUGAGCUGGUGAGUACCGGUAUUGUGCUGAGUACCGAUACUAUAUCAGGCGGGUAUCGGUACACUUUAUAAAAUCCGAAUGUCCAGCGCUCGAGUUUUGCGAGACUGAGCACUGGGUACCGGUACUCCAAUUCGAGUACCGGUACUCAAUGCUGUAAUUGAUAUUUGUUUAGUCAGCUAAUUGUGAGUUGUUUAGGGGUAUAAUUGGAAUUGAGCCUAGUGUUUAUCCUCAACAGCUCCCCCAGCUAUUCCCUCGUGCUGGAAUCAGAGAAGAGUUAUGGUGAGCUCCUUCUCUUUCUCUCUCUAGAUUUUUUUCCAAUUUUAGUGGAGAUUGAUGGAAUUGAUAUCUCUUUUCUUCUCUUUUCCAUGAAAUCUGGUUUUGUGAUCCUUGGAGAAGCUUUGGAAGUGAAGAAAAGAGUGUUUUUGAGGAUAAAUCUCUAACCCUAACUCAAGGUUGGCUUGGUUUGGAGCUCUUGGAAGGGUGCUUUGAGGCUAAAGGAUGCUUUGAGGCUAAAGGAUAUCUUCGCUCGAGCAAAACGAGUUCGAGGGGUAUCCGGUGGGUUUGACCUUACCGAAAUGGCCAUUCACAGCGGGAGAGGCUAGGAAUCGCGGCAAGGGGGUCACAUCUAGUUAGAGUUAGUUUGGAGCUUCUGCUAGGUGGUCACCUCUUCUUUUGAUGUAGCUGGCGAGAGAGUUUUGUUCUUGAUGUCUAGAGACCACCAUGUAUAUAUAGUUUUAUACUUUGGCUACUUGAUGUAUGUAUAUCUUUGAGACUGUUAAUGUUAGUUAGUUGUUUCCUUUUUA
Long non-coding RNA from Ananas comosus (pineapple), 2300 nucleotides. RefSeq lists it as uncharacterized. Lineage: Eukaryota; Viridiplantae; Streptophyta; Magnoliopsida; Poales; Bromeliaceae. The record is from RefSeq and is a predicted model, not a curated record. The transcript has 3 exons.